This 523-nucleotide ribosomal RNA is filed under the name uncultured bacterium. Its description in RNAcentral is "partial 16S ribosomal RNA". It matches the Rfam family "Bacterial small subunit ribosomal RNA", at positions 28 to 523 of the family's 1533-position model. The record is from RNAcentral.
GACGAACGCUGGCGGCGUGCCUAAUACAUGCAAGUCGAACGCUUUUUCUUUCACCGGAGCUUGCUCCAUCGAAAGAAAAAGAGUGGCGAACGGGUGAGUAACACGUGGGUAACCUGCCCAUCAGAAGGGGAUAACACUUGGAAACAGGUGCUAAUACCGUAUAACACUAUUUUCCGCAUGGAAGAAAGUUGAAAGGCGCUUUUGCGUCACUGAUGGAUGGACCCGCGGUGCACUAGCUAGUCGGUGAGGUAACGGCUCACCAAGGCAACGAUGCAUAGCCGGCCUGAGAGGGUGAUCGGCCACACUGGGACUGAGACACGGCCCAGACUCCUACGGGAGGCAGCAGUAGGGAAUCUUCGGCAAUGGACGAAAGUCUGACCGAGCAACGCCGCGUGAGUGAAGAAGGUUUUCGGAUCGUAAAACUCUGUUGUUAGAGAAGGACAAGGAUGAGAGUAAAAUGUUCAUCCCUUGACGGUAUCUAACCAGAAAGCCACGGCUAACUACGUGCCAGCCGCCGCAUAAA